CCUGUAACGAGAAAAUUUAUGUAAAUCUUUGUAUUUAUUUGCUUUUACAAACUUGUCAAAUUAAAUGAUUUUUUUUUUUUUUAGCGGAAACCGGUCUUUUCGUUGUUUUUUUUUUUUUUUUUCCUCUUCUUCAUCCGGAGGAAUAAAAACGUCGAGAUGAAAGCAGUUCGUGACACACGCUCGCACGCUCUUACAUGACGCACGCAUUCACGCAUAGGAGCGAAAGAGAGAAAGAGAAAGAGAAAAGAGAGAGAGAGAGAGAGAGAGAGAGAGAUUAAUUUAAAGAAGAGGUUGAAAGCAUGAGUGCAUGAAGGCGUGCAGGGAGGAUAGAAUGAAUGGCGUAGAAAAAUAUAAAAUAGAUUUUCAAAGUAGCGUAGAUAAUUCGAUAUUUCGCUCGCACAUUAAUCUUUUAUCUUUGAGCUUGCUUAGCAAGAUUUCACGGUAGAUUGAUUUCGUGGUCAAAGUGGAUCGAUCGAUGUGCCGUUUUACAUCAUCGGUUUACAACGUAUCGACAAUGUUUAUUGAAAAUAAAAUACCGAAUAUUUAUUAUCGUUUCAAAUAUGUCUCGUUCAAAGAAAUUCUUCUCUCAAUUUUUCAAUUUUUAUCUCGAUCGCGACGAGAUUCAAAGAUUCUGAAUAACACCUAUGAAAAAUAUAUAUUUUUCGUAUAUACACAACGUGUAUACGUAAAUACGUAAUUUGUAUUUUCAUAUGUACAAGAAAAAGAAUACGAAAAGAAUACGCGAGAUAUUUGUUAUCGGAAAAAAUAAAAAAAAAAACGGAUUAUUAUUAUUAUUUCGGAUGGUUCUUAUUCUUUUUCUUUUUUUUUUUAUUUUUUACUUUUUAUUUAUUUAUUUAUUUUUACUUUUUAUUUACUUUUUUUUCCCUCUUUUUUUUUUUUACGAGGAUAACAAUUUUCGAAUUUUUCAACGCUGCGAGAUUUUUUGGAAAAAUUGGAAACUGAGACGUAACAAUGUAAUAUUUGUAAUAUAUAAUGCACUUUGGGUUUGUGUUCUUAAGCAUUAUAAAAUUGUUCUCUCUAUAUUCAUUGACUCUUUUUAAAUAGAAGAAGAAACUUGAUAUUUCGAUUGUCAAUGCUGCACUUUCGAUUUGAAGAGGAUCGCGAUGUUUCCAUUCGUACUAUCUUUCGAUUUGUUGUGGAACGAACGGAGAGACACGAAAAAUAUCCGAACCAUGGGUACGUUUCUGUCGAAAUUAAUCGUAGCAAGAAAAUCCUUUUCUUUCUUGUUUCCUUCUUUUUCUCUUUUUUUUUUUCUUUUUCUUUUUUUCUUUCAGAUGAUUUAUCACGAAUCAUCGGAACGAAUAAUUAUUACGAUUUAUUACGAAACAAAAUGGAAUACAGCUUAUCGUUACGAUACGAUCGAAGAAAAGAUGGAAAAAAGGGGAAUCGAUAUCGUUUCCAUUGAUAUUUCGAAUUGUUGUAAUUAAACGAGAUUGUUUCCUUUUUUUUUUUUUUUUUUUUUUUUUAUAUCGUAUCGAAAGUGAAUAAUAUAUAUAUAGAUUUUUCAUUUCGAUUAAAUAUAGAAGAGAUUUUGGGGGGAAUAUGCUCGCACACGAACGAGAAGGCGCGCACAUUUUUCCAUCAUCGUAUCAAUCGAGAAAUUAAUCGAGAAACUGCGUUUUCAAAUUCGUGUUCGAAAUUGCGGUGCACGUAUACGAACGAAGCACGAAGUAUACGGAACGGAAAAACACGAAGAAAACUUCGCGCCUACGAAUCGAUUUUGAAUAAUUCGAGAAAAGGCAAUGAUAUGUACUUAGCCUACUAUUUUGUAUAAUAAAUAACUAUAUACGCAUAAAUAUACGCGAGCGAUAUAACAAUAAUUUUCUUUUACAUUAAUUGCACGAACUGCACAUUAGUACAUAUAUACUAAUAUUACUAAUAUUCUCUUUGCAAAUUUCCUCGCCAAUUCUUAAUAAUCGAAACGAUAUAUCUUCUUAUCCGUGACUUAUAUAAAUUCGUAGAAUUCCAAGUAUCUUAUCGGCAAUUUUUCUCUCGGGAGAGAAUACAUAUAUAUAUAUAUAUAUAUAUAGAAUCUUUUCCUUCUAUGGAACAUACGCAUGAUAUUUAUAAAUUUUUUUUUUAAAAAAUUUAUAAAUAAUCUCCCCCUGGGAGAGGGGAAAGAAAAGAAGAAGGAAUAGAAACUAAUACAUCGAAUAAAACGAACAACGAUACAAAAUUGCAUUUAUUUAGAAGAUGAUCGAAAUCGUUAUACUUUUCCUUCCAAUUGCUUUACUUUUUCUUUUUCCUUCGUUUUAUCUUUUAUAUCGAUAACGCUCGAUAAUUCUC
RNAcentral lists this long non-coding RNA (2307 nucleotides) under Apis florea (little honeybee). RNAcentral's name for it is "uncharacterized LOC116415567". The record is from RNAcentral. Lineage: Eukaryota; Metazoa; Arthropoda; Insecta; Hymenoptera; Apidae.